This 1350-nucleotide ribosomal RNA is filed under the name Triticum aestivum (bread wheat). RNAcentral describes it as "partial small subunit ribosomal RNA". The record is from RNAcentral. Lineage: Eukaryota; Viridiplantae; Streptophyta; Magnoliopsida; Poales; Poaceae.
AUGGAAGGCUCGCCGGCGACGCGUCUCCCCGAGGCCGACGCGCUCCCCGAUGGCUUCGUCGAGAGCUCCUCCGCCGACCAGGCCCAGCCAGUCUCCUCCGCCCCCGCCUCCGCCGCCGCCGGUCCCCUGCAUCCCGCCCUCGGCCCUGAUCACGAGGGCGCCGCCCGCGCCGACGGCGAGCAAACCCUAGGCGCUCCAUCCACCCCCGCCGACGCCGCCGAUGCCCUGCGGAGUCUCUCUAUGGCCGCCGCCGCUUCGGAGCCGGAGCGUGCCCCCGAGCAGCAGGGGCCCGCCGCAGACAUAGGAGGUGCCAAAGAUGCAAUGAAGGAGAGCUUUGUGGUAGAGCAAUCGGAACCGCUGGCCAAUCCAAAGGAUAGUGGCGAGCCAAAGCGUAAGGUCGUGAAGCGGAACAGUAAGCUAGAGAAGGACAAGGAGUUGUUGCAACUUGCCCAGAGGUACCAUGGAGUGGUAGCGGAGAGGGAUGCAGCCAUUGCAGUUAAAGAAAAAUUAGAAUCUCUUUGUAGAGAAUUUCAGCGUCAAAACAAAAUGUUAAAGGUCUGUGGUUUAGGAAGAGUGCCAAAGGGUGUCAACAGAGGGGCAGAACUUUCGGAUGGAGAUGUCCGACAAAUUCGAGAAUGCUAUGAAGUGUCAAGCUUGAGGAGCAGAAAAACGAAUGCAUUGCUCAGUUUGAAGAGAACAAUUCGUAAGACUACUAAGCUUAGGCUGAGAAAUAAACUCAAAGACCUUGCUGAUCAAUAUAAUAUCAUUCAGCAGAAAUAUGCUCAUCAGCUGAAAGAAAAGACGCUGGAACUUGAGCUUGCUGAUCUGAAAAUUCAACAGCAUCAAGCGAAAGCAGCUCAAGAACAUGCCCAAAUGGUAUUGUAUGCUGAGCAAGUUUCUCAACUUGUCACUACUGAGAAGAACCUGCGGGUGCAGCUAGCUGCUGAUGGUGAAAAAUUUCAGCAGUUUCAGGAUGCCCUGUCAAAAAGCAAUGAAGUGUUCGAAACUUACAAGGAGAUGGAACAGAUGGUGAAGGCGAUAAAAGACUUCAGGAAGCAAAAUGAAGCCCCGAAGAACAAGUGUGAGAAUUCAGAUAUUGCUCUUGUGAAGCUCAUUGAGGAGCGUGAGGUGAUGAAGAAGCAACUAGACAAAUAUAAGAAUCAAAAGGACAAACUCGAGUCCCUGUGCCGGUCGCUGCAGGCAGAAAGGAAACAAAGCCCAUCUGUCAGUAUUCCUAAUGAUGCCUCUAACCAAGAAGAUGUUACAAGUCAGAAACAAAGCCCAUCUUCCAGUAUUCCUGAUGACGCCUCUAACCAAGAAGAUGUUACAAGUCAGCAGCCAGAGGUAUAG